Molecule: ribosomal RNA, 791 nt
Filed under: uncultured Gammaproteobacteria bacterium
Lineage: Bacteria; Pseudomonadati; Pseudomonadota; Gammaproteobacteria
Description: bacterial SSU rRNA
Rfam family: Bacterial small subunit ribosomal RNA
Source: RNAcentral
GAUUGAACGCUGGCGGCAGGCCUAACACAUGCAAGUCGAACGCGAAAUCACUUCGGUGAGAGUAGAGUGGCGGACGGGUGAGUAACGCGUGGGAAUCUACCUCGUAGUGGGGGACAACUUGUGGAAACGCAAGCUAAUACCGCAUACGUCCUGAGGGAGAAAGCAGGAGAUCUUCGGACCUUGUGCUAUGAGAUGAGCCCGCGUCGGAUUAGCUAGUUGGUGGGGUAAAGGCCUACCAAGGCGACGAUCCGUAGCUGGUCUGAGAGGAUGAUCAGCCACACUGGAACUGAGGCACGGUCCAGACUCCUACGGGAGGCAGCAGUGGGGAAUAUUGCACAAUGGGCGAAAGCCUGAUGCAGCCAUGCCGCGUGUGUGAAGAAGGCUCUAGGGUUGUAAAGCACUUUCAGCAAGGAGGAAAGGUUGUAAGUUAAUACCUUGCAACUGUGACGUUACUUGCAGAAGAAGCACCGGCUAACUCCGUGCCAGCAGCCGCGGUAAUACGGAGGGUGCAAGCGUUAAUCGGAAUUACUGGGCGUAAAGCGCGCGUAGGCGGUCUGUUAAGCUGGAUGUGAAAGCCCAGGGCUCAACCUUGGAACUGCAUUCAGAACUGGCAGACUAGAGUAUUGGAGAGGUAAGUGGAAUUUCCCGUGUAGCAGUGAAAUGCGUAGAUAUGGGAAGGAACACCAGUGGCGAAGGCGACUUACUGGCCAAAUACUGACGCUGAGGUGCGAAAGCGUGGGGAGCAAACGGGAUUAGAUACCCCGGUAGUCCACGCCGUAAACGAUGUCUAC